AAUGAACGCUGGCGGCGCGCCUAAUACAUGCAAGUCGAGCAAGAAGACGUAGCAAUACGUUUGUAAAGCGGCGAACGGGUGAGGAAUACAUGGGUAACCUACCCUCGAGUGGGGAAGUAACUAGCCGAAAGGUUAGCUAAUACCGCGUACGCUUCUUGGACUUCGGUUCAGGGAGGAAAGCGAUACCGUGGGUAUCGCGCUCUUGGAUGGGCUCAUGUCCUAUCAGCUUGUUGGUGAGGUAACGGCUCACCAAGGCUUCGACGGGUAGCUGGUCUGAGAGGACGAUCAGCCACACUGGCACUGCGACACGGGCCAGACUCCUACGGGAGGCAGCAGUAAGGAAUAUUGCGCAAUGGGCGAAAGCCUGACGCAGCGACGCCGCGUGGGGGA
Molecule: ribosomal RNA, 390 nt
Filed under: uncultured bacterium
Lineage: Bacteria
Description: bacterial SSU rRNA
Rfam family: Bacterial small subunit ribosomal RNA
Source: RNAcentral